GGUGUACCACACCUAGUAGUAGCAUAGAUAUUAGAGUAAAUAUCUAUGGUAGUAGUAGUGGUAGUACUAGCAAGAUAUUCUUUCACAGUAGUAUGAUGAGACCUCUUCCCUCAGGGGAGCCUCCGGCUAUCGCUUGAUGACUUUGAAUAAACCAAAAACACAAUGCUUUGAAUGGCAAUAUGAUUGACCUACUAACAACUGAUAUGAAGCAUACAAUCUGCACAGUUAUGCUUUUUAAAUUUGUUUCUUUCACUUUUACAAACUACAACACAGUCAUAAUGAUAAUUAUAAAAAUGAUAAUUGUAAUUAUAUAUUAAUAGUCUAAUUUGACACCUUUAGUUAUGUCUUAUACUUUUUCAAAAUAUUUAGUACUAAUAAAUCCAUUCUCAUCUCCU
Amphimedon queenslandica is the source of this 395-nucleotide long non-coding RNA. RefSeq lists it as uncharacterized. The transcript is spliced from 2 exons. The record is from RefSeq and is a predicted model, not a curated record. NCBI's taxonomy places the organism in Eukaryota, Metazoa, Porifera, Demospongiae, Haplosclerida, Niphatidae.